GAUGAACGCUAGCUACAGGCUUAACACAUGCAAGUCGCGGGGCAGCAUGGGGGUUGCUUGCAAUCCCCGAUGGCGACCGGCGCACGGGUGAGUAACGCGUAUCCAACCUGCCCUUCACCACGGGAUAACCCGGCGAAAGUCGGACUAAUACCGUAUGUUGUCCAUUGACGGCAUCCGAUUUGGACGAAAGGUUUGGCGGUGAAGGAUGGGGAUGCGUCCGAUUAGCUGGACGGCGGGGUGACGGCCCACCGUGGCGACGAUCGGUAGGGGUUCUGAGAGGAAGGUCCCCUACACUGGAACUGAGACACGGUCCAGACUCCUACGGGAGGCAGCAGUGAGGAAUAUUGGUCAAUGGGCGUAAGCCUGAACCAGCCAAGUAGCGUGCAGGAUGACGGCCCUAUGGGUUGUAAACUGCUUUUAUGCGGGGAUAAAGUGGCCCACGUGUGGGUUUUUGCAGGUACCGCAUGAAUAAGGACCGGCUAAUUCCGUG
RNAcentral lists this ribosomal RNA (490 nucleotides) under uncultured bacterium. RNAcentral describes it as "partial 16S ribosomal RNA". It matches the Rfam family "Bacterial small subunit ribosomal RNA", at positions 28 to 507 of the family's 1533-position model. The record is from RNAcentral.